GAAUUAGGGUUCGAUUCCGGAGAGGGAGCCUGAGAAACGGCUACCACAUCUAAGGAAGGCAGCAGGCGCGCAAAUUACCCAAUCCUAAUACAGGGAGGUAGUGACAAGAAAUAACAAUACAGGACUUUUUGGUUUUGUAAUUGGAAUGAGUUAAGUAUAAACCCCUUUACAAGUAUCAAUUGGAGGGCAAGUCUGGUGCCAGCAGCCGCGGUAAUUCCAGCUCCAAUAGCGUAUAUUAAAGUUGUUGCAGUUAAAAAGCUCGUAGUUGGAUUUCUGUUAAUAAUUUAUAUAAAAUAUUUUGAUGAAUAUUUAUAUAAUAUUAACAUAAUUCAUAUUACUAUAUAUUUUAGUAUAUGAAAUUUUACUUUGAGAAAAUUAGAGUGCUUAAAGCAGGCAUAUGCCUUGAAUACUCCAGCAUGGAAUAAUAUUAAAGAUUUUUAUCUUUCUUAUUGGUUCUAAGAUAAGAAUAAUGAUUAAUAGGGACAGUUGGGGGCAUUUGUAUUUAACAGUCAGAGGUGAAAUU
This 523-nucleotide ribosomal RNA is filed under the name Cryptosporidium parvum. RNAcentral describes it as "SSU rRNA". It matches the Rfam family "Eukaryotic small subunit ribosomal RNA", at positions 367 to 918 of the family's 1831-position model. Lineage: Eukaryota; Apicomplexa; Conoidasida; Eucoccidiorida; Cryptosporidiidae. The record is from RNAcentral.